Molecule: ribosomal RNA, 429 nt
Filed under: Fusobacteriota bacterium
Lineage: Bacteria; Fusobacteriati; Fusobacteriota
Description: Fusobacteria bacterium partial 16S ribosomal RNA
Rfam family: Bacterial small subunit ribosomal RNA
Source: RNAcentral
UGGGGAAUCUUCCGCAAUGGACGAAAGUCUGACGGAGCAACGCCGCGUGAGUGAAGACGGCCUUCGGGUUGUAAAGCUCUGUGAUCCGGGACGAAAGAGCCUGAGGUGAAUAGCCUAAGGCAGUGACGGUACCGGAAAAGCAAGCCACGGCUAACUACGUGCCAGCAGCCGCGGUAAUACGUAGGUGGCAAGCGUUGUCCGGAAUUUUUGGGCGUAAAGCGCGCGCAGGCGGCUUCCUAAGUCCAUCUUAAAAGUGCGGGGCUUAACCCCGUGAUGGGAUGGAAACUGGGAAGCUGGAGUAUCGGAGAGGAAAGUGGAAUUCCUAGUGUAGCGGUGAAAUGCGUAGAGAUUAGGAAGAACACCGGUGGCGAAGGCGACUUUCUGGACGAAAACUGACGCUGAGGCGCGAAAGCGUGGGGAGCAAACAGG